UACUAAAAAAAUUGAUUAAUUUUUUUUAAAAGGUACAUAAAACAAAAACUAUGAUACACGUUUAAAUAUUACAACAACACUAAUAGUUUGGUAAAUUUGUUUCAAAACCUCUAGUUCUCUAAAAUACUGUCCAAAUAUAUUUGGUAUAACCGAAGAUAGAACAUUACGGAAAUAAACUUAGGGAAUAAUGUGAUACUUUUUUGUAUUUUAAUAUUUAGUUAUGUAUUUUUAUUUAUAACUUUAUAUUCUAGUAUAAAAUUUUAUUAAUUAAUAUUGUUGUAAUAUGUGUUAUAUAUGUAGCUAUUUAUAAAAAAAAAUAUUUGAUCUACAUUAAUAAGGAUUAUAGAGUAGACUACAAAUAGUUUUAAAAUUAAGUUUGAAGUUUUACUAAAGUUUUGAAGUCGGUGGACAAGGUAACAUAUAUACUAUUGUAAGUUCAUAAGGUAACAUAUAUACUAUUGUAAGUUCAUGAAUAUGAUCAAGCUUAGAGAACCAACAUUUUGGAACUUGGCGCAAUCUAUAUAUUUCGUUAUGCAAUUUACAUAUUUUGUUCGGAUCGGAUCUGAUGUUUUAAAACUUUGAGGCACACUUUCUCUUUAAGAUCUUUGUGCAGGAAUGCAUUGUUAACAUCCAUCUGAUGCAAAAUCCAUACUUUACCUGUAACCACUCGUAACAACCCUCGCACUAUUGUCAUCUUAACCACUGGUGUUAACGUCUCUUUAAAAUCUCUGUCUUUCACUUGUCUAUUUUCCAAGACAACCAGUAGUGUCUUAAGCCUUUCCAUAGUACCAUCGACAUUGUACUUAUAUUUGUACACCCACAUUUUAUCAAUAGCUUUCUUUUCUGGUGGCAAAUCAACCACAUUGAACGUCUUGUUAUCUUCAAUCGCCACAAUCUCUUUUUUUGUAUUAAAUCCACGCCAAAUUUUCUGUUGCAUUGCUUCUUUAUAUCUCUUUGUUCUUGUUCAUUUGUAAUUGCCACCAAGAACGCCUUAUGAGCUGGAGAAAAACGUUCAUCAGAUAUGUAGUUAUCAAGUGGAUAUGGUGUUUUAGCUGGAGAAAAACCUUAUGAACUAGUCAAAUUAUUUUUCUCUCAUUUGUAUUUAUAUUGUAGGUAUUAUUGCAGAUUACUCCUGAAAUUGUGUGAGAGCUCACAAGUAGUAGAAACCGCGGAGAGAGGGAGUAUCAUUCAAAUUCAGCUUCUACGAUCAACAACAAGCCUAUCAAAGAAAACAGCUCAAACUAAUCAGGACCGGAUCUGGACAUAGGCAAGUGAAACAUUGGCCUUGGCCCUCACAAAUUUUGGAGGUUUUUUAUGGUCCGACUGGCGGGUGCGGGAGUUUGCAGAUACGGAUGGUUGCAGUUUCAAGCGUUUUAUAUGAAUGGUACAAUAUUUGAAAUUUGUUGCGUCUGCAAAAUAUUUAUGACUAGUUGAUUAUGAGAUAUUGCAGCGG
Molecule: long non-coding RNA, 1453 nt
Organism: Raphanus sativus (radish)
Lineage: Eukaryota; Viridiplantae; Streptophyta; Magnoliopsida; Brassicales; Brassicaceae
Exons: 3
Source: RefSeq, a predicted model, not a curated record